CGGUGGGGUAGGGCCGGGGGAGUAGCCGUCCCCUGAGCCGGAAGGCUAAUGCCGGGGCCAGUAACCCCUGGGGGCGGUAGCGGGUAGGGAGCUCCCUCUCUCCCUCGGGCCGAUGAUCCUUGGCGCUGGCGGGCCGCCGGUGGGGCAUCCCCGUCCGGAGGGGCGGGGUGAGCCCCUUUACCACCGAAACGGGUCAGGCCCGGAAGGGAGCAGCCCUAAGGUGGACGGUCGGCGCUGCCAGUGUGCUGGGGUGAGCGUCUGAGGGAGAAUGGGGGGCUCCCGAACUCGCUAUCCACCUCGGGGGAGCCCACCG
RNAcentral lists this signal recognition particle RNA (313 nucleotides) under Thermoproteota archaeon. RNAcentral describes it as "signal recognition particle sRNA". It matches the Rfam family "Archaeal signal recognition particle RNA". Lineage: Archaea; Thermoproteati; Thermoproteota. The record is from RNAcentral.